GUCGUUCCAUAAUUGCAGUGCUCUGUAGGAAAAUAAGGAUUGAGCUGCUUUCUUUUUGUAUUGAGGUAGACUAGAUAUCGUGCUAGUACUGGAUCGGAGUUUAUAGGAGGUGGAAACAGCCAGGUAGAGCAUUCUGCUCAGGUAGGGUGGGAGCUUCCCAGAAAAGCUCUUAAACACAAGGCUGGAAUGAUGAAGGGUGCGUCUGGAC
Non-coding RNA from Pelobates cultripes (western spadefoot toad), 208 nucleotides. NCBI's taxonomy places the organism in Eukaryota, Metazoa, Chordata, Amphibia, Anura, Pelobatidae. The record is from the annotation of a GenBank genome assembly.